GACGAACGCUGGCGGCGUGCUUAACACAUGCAAGUCGAACGGAAAGGCCCUGCUUUUGUGGGGUGCUCGAGUGGCGAACGGGUGAGUAACACGUGAGUAACCUGCCCUUGACUUUGGGAUAACUUCAGGAAACUGGGGCUAACACCGGAUAGGAGCUCCUGCUGCAUGGUGGGGGUUGGAAAGUUUCGGCGGUUGGGGAUGGACUCGCGGCUUAUCAGCUUGUUGGUGGGGUAGUGGCUUACCAAGGCUUUGACGGGUAGCCGGCCUGAGAGGGUGACUGGCCACAUUGGGACUGAGAUACGGCCCAGACUCCUACGGGAGGCAGCAGUGGGGAAUAUUGCACAAUGGGCGGAAGCCUGAUGCAGCAACGCCGCGUGCGGGAUGACGGCCUUCGGGUUGUAAACCGCUUUCGCCUGUGACGAAGCGUGAGUGACGGUAAUGGGUAAAGAAGCACCGGCUAACUACGUG
RNAcentral lists this ribosomal RNA (468 nucleotides) under uncultured bacterium. RNAcentral's name for it is "partial 16S ribosomal RNA". It matches the Rfam family "Bacterial small subunit ribosomal RNA", at positions 28 to 507 of the family's 1533-position model. The record is from RNAcentral.